CUACGGGGUGCAGCAGUGGGGAAUUUUGGACAAUGGGCGCAAGCCUGAUCCAGCCAUGCCGCGUGCGGGAAGAAGGCCUUCGGGUUGUAAACCGCUUUCGGACAGAAAGAAAUCGCACGGGCUAAUACCCCGUGUGGAUGACGGUACUGUAAGAAGAAGCACCGGCUAACUACGUGCCAGCAGCCGCGGUAAUACGUAGGGUGCGAGCGUUAAUCGGAAUUACUGGGCGUAAAGCGUGCGCAGGCGGAUAUUUAAGUCAGACGUGAAAUCCCCGGGCUUAACCUGGGAAUGGCGUUUGAAACUGGAUAUCUAGAGUGUGGCAGAGGGGGGUGGAAUUCCACGUGUAGCAGUGAAAUGCGUAGAGAUGUGGAGGAACACCGAUGGCGAAGGCACCCCCCUGGGCUAACACUGACGCUCAUGCACGAAAGCGUGGGGAGCAAACAGGAUUAGAUACCCCGGUAGUC
This 464-nucleotide ribosomal RNA is filed under the name uncultured bacterium. RNAcentral describes it as "partial 16S ribosomal RNA". It matches the Rfam family "Bacterial small subunit ribosomal RNA", at positions 339 to 795 of the family's 1533-position model. The record is from RNAcentral.